Sipha flava (yellow sugarcane aphid) is the source of this 861-nucleotide long non-coding RNA. RefSeq lists it as uncharacterized. NCBI's taxonomy places the organism in Eukaryota, Metazoa, Arthropoda, Insecta, Hemiptera, Aphididae. The transcript has 4 exons. The record is from RefSeq and is a predicted model, not a curated record.
ACGUGUUUACGGGUCUUAGCGAACCCGGGGUCCUGAGCUCUUGUUGGUUGUAGGUAGGAAUGAUCAGCUGUUCAACUCUUUUGGAUUAGAUUUAGGUAAAUGUUUUUACUUAUUGUUUUAAGUCUCUUUGUGUGCUUAGGCUUCUUAUUGUGAUUUGUAUAGGAAUUUGUUAUCCCCCAGGGGAACACGUUCUUACGUGUUUACGGGUCUUAGCGAACCCGGGGUCCUGAGCUCUUGUUGGUUGUAGGUAGGAAUGAUCAGCUGUUCAACUCUAUUGGCGUUAAUUUAAGGAAAUGUUUUACUGUUUGUUAUCGGUCAACUUUUUCUUCUUCGGCUUAUCGUUCUGAUUUGCAUUAGUUAUUUGUUUGAUUGAUUGUCCUUUUGAUAGUGUUUAUUAGUUUAUUAUUUAUAUUUUUACAGUGUUAUUGAUUUAUUUGUUGUCAAUUUUUAUGAAAGGUAUUUCAUGGUUAUUUCUUAAUGGUUCUAUUGAAUAGUAUUGAGUUUUCUUUACUAAAUAGGAAUAUGAUUUUUACUGUUAUAUGCUUGGUUUUGUUUUUUGUUUUUUUUUUUUUAUUUUUUUUAGAUAUUUGUUUGAUGGAUUGUUCUUUAUGCGAAAUUGGAUAAAUUUGUCUAUAACUAUGAAAGAACUUGAACUUAUUCUUUGUAUCAACAUAAACCAAGAAUUCUUCUGGAGCCGGAACCUGGAUUUUUUUUUUGGAUCGACCCAAAUCAAUUUUCCUCCGGGAGCCGGGGAUCCCCUUUUCAUUUCUCCUUCUGAACUCUACACUUUGAAUAUUUAAUGAACCUGGAUUUUGAAUCAUUUCAAUCUAAAGGAGGUGUCCUUUGAGAGCUGGAUAACCA